CCUACGUGAGGCAGCAGUGGGGAAUAUUGCACAAUGUGGGAAACCCUGAUGCAGCGACGCCGCGUGAGUGAAGAAGUAUUUCGGUAUGUAAAGCUCUAUCAGCAGGGAAGAAAAUGACGGUACCUGAUUAAGAAGCCCCGGCUAACUACGUGCCAGCAGCCGCGGUAAUACGUAGGGGGCAAGCGUUAUCCGGAUUUAUUGGGUUUAAAGGGUGCGUAGGCGGAAGGUUAAGUCAGCGGUCAAAUGUCGGUGCUCAACACCGGCCUGCCGUUGAAACUGGUCUUCUUGAGUGAGCGAGAAGUAUGCGGAAUGCGUGGUGUAGCGGUGAAAUGCAUAGAUAUCACGCAGAACUCCGAUUGCGAAGGCAGCUCACUGGACUGCAACUGACACUGAGGCUCGAAAGUGUGGGUAUCAAACAGGAUUAGAUACCCCGGUAGUC
Molecule: ribosomal RNA, 439 nt
Filed under: uncultured bacterium
Lineage: Bacteria
Description: partial 16S ribosomal RNA
Rfam family: Bacterial small subunit ribosomal RNA
Source: RNAcentral